UGGGGAAUAUUGCACAAUGGGCGCAAGCCUGAUGCAGCCAUGCCGCGUGUGUGAAGAAGGCCUUCGGGUUGUAAAGCACUUUCAGCGAGGAGGAAGGUGGUGAACUUAAUACGUUCAUCAAUUGACGUUACUCGCAGAAGAAGCACCGGCUAACUCCGUGCCAGCGGCCGCGGUAAUACGGAGGGUGCAAGCGUUAAUCGGAAUUACUGGGCGUAAAGCGCACGCAGGCGGUUUGUUAAGUCAGAUGUGAAAUCCCCCGGGCUCAACCUGGGAACUGCAUUUGAAACUGGCAAGCUAGAGUCUCGUAGAGGGGGGUAGAAUUCCAGGUGUAGCGGUGAAAUGCGUAGAGAUCUGGAGGAAUACCGGUGGCGAAGGCGGCCCCCUGGACGAAGACUGACGCUCAGGUGCGAAAGCGUGGGGAGCAAACAGGAUUAGAUACCCUGGUAGUCCACGCUGUAAACGAUGUCGAUUUGGAGGUUGUGCCCCUUGAGGCGUGGNUUCCGGAGCUAACGCGUUAAAUCGACCGCCUGGGGAGUACGGCCNCAAGGUUAAAACUUAAAGGAAUUGC
This 568-nucleotide ribosomal RNA is filed under the name uncultured bacterium. RNAcentral describes it as "partial 16S ribosomal RNA". It matches the Rfam family "Bacterial small subunit ribosomal RNA", at positions 355 to 913 of the family's 1533-position model. The record is from RNAcentral.